CAAAAAUGAACUGCGACCAAAUGAUCGAACAAGAAUUGUCAAAGAAAACUCAAGCUAAAGAGGUUCAAUCAUCAAGACACCACUAGGAAAGAAGUUGGUGCAAAUGCACAAAUCUCAGUCUCCAAUUUCACAGCAUUGUCACAAAUAUAGAUGGACAGCAAACACAAUUUAUAUGUUUCAACACUAAUACAGGGGGAAAAAGAGAUCUAAAAUCUGAAACCCCACCUAUCGACAUGCAGGAAGAACAAAUACUAAGCUAGCUAAUAAACUUCAAUCAGGUUGGAAAUACUAUAUAGACCCUCACACCACGGUAUUGAGAAGUGGGAAAGUAAUAGCCUAAUGUCAUGGCCGCCCCACGAUUUGCAACCUUUACGCUGCUACAUUGUGAUGUAAGCAACCAAUCUCAGUAACAGGGUUUCACUUGACAGGGCACCUAUCGGACAGGGAAAUUAGAUUGAAUUGACUUCAGAAUAGAAG
This 477-nucleotide long non-coding RNA is filed under the name Capsicum annuum. Its description in RNAcentral is "long non-coding RNA (CANN_LNC017649)". The record is from RNAcentral. Lineage: Eukaryota; Viridiplantae; Streptophyta; Magnoliopsida; Solanales; Solanaceae.